Molecule: ribosomal RNA, 460 nt
Filed under: uncultured bacterium
Lineage: Bacteria
Description: partial 16S ribosomal RNA
Rfam family: Bacterial small subunit ribosomal RNA
Source: RNAcentral
CCUACGGGAGGCAGCAGUGAGGAAUAUUGGUCAAUGGACGAGAGUCUGAACCAGCCAAGUAGCGUGAAGGAUGACUGUCCUAUGGGUUGUAAACUUCUUUUAUAAAGGAAUAAAACGAGGCACGUGUGCCUUGUUGCAUGGUCUUCAUGAAUAAGGAUCGGCUAACUCCGUGCCAGCAGCCGCGGUAAUACGGAGGAUCCGAGCGUUAUCCGGAUUUAAUGGGUUUAAAGGGAGCGUAGAUGGGUUGUUAAGUCAGUUGUGAAAGUUUGCGGCUGAACCGUAAAAUUGCAAUUGAUACUGGCAGUCUUGAGUACAGUUGAGGUAGGCGGAAUUCGUGGUGUAGCGGUGAAAUGCUUAGAUAUCACGAAGAACCCCGAUUGCGAAGGCAGCAUACUGAACUGUGACUGACAUUGAUGCACGAAAGUGUGGGUAUCAAACAGGAUUAGAUACCCCAGUAGUC